AUUGAACGCUGGCGGCAUGCCUUACACAUGCAAGUCGAACGGUAACAGGUCUUCGGAUGCUGACGAGUGGCGAACGGGUGAGUAAUACAUCGGAACGUGCCUAGUAGUGGGGGAUAACUACUCGAAAGAGUGGCUAAUACCGCAUGAGAUCUACGGAUGAAAGCAGGGGAUCGCAAGACCUUGUGCUACUAGAGCGGCCGAUGGCAGAUUAGGUAGUUGGUGGGAUAAAAGCUUACCAAGCCGACGAUCUGUAGCUGGUCUGAGAGGACGAUCAGCCAAACUGGGACUGAGAAACGGCCCAGACUCCUACGGGAGGCAGCAGUGGGGAAUUUUGGACAAUGGGCGCAAGCCUGAUUCAGCAAUGCCGCGUGCAGGAUGAAGGCCUUCGGGUUGUAAACUGCUUUUGUACGGAACGAAAAGCCCCGGGUUAAUACCCUGGGGUCAUGACGGUACCGUAAGAAUAAGCACCGGCUAACUACGUGCCAGCCGCCGCGGUAA
RNAcentral lists this ribosomal RNA (498 nucleotides) under uncultured bacterium. RNAcentral's name for it is "partial 16S ribosomal RNA". It matches the Rfam family "Bacterial small subunit ribosomal RNA", at positions 30 to 523 of the family's 1533-position model. The record is from RNAcentral.